CCUACGGGGGGCAGCAGUGAGGAAUAUUGGUCAAUGGGCGCGAGCCUGAACCAGCCAAGUAGCGUGAAGGAUGACUGCCCUACGGGUUGUAAACUUCUUUUAUAAAGGAAUAAAGUGAGGCACGUGUGCCUUUUUGUAUGUACUUUAUGAAUAAGGAUCGGCUAACUCCGUGCCAGCAGCCGCGGUAAUACGGAGGAUCCGAGCGUUAUCCGGAUUUAUUGGGUUUAAAGGGAGCGUAGAUGGGUUGUUAAGUCAGUUGUGAAAGUUUGCGGCUCAACCCCGGCCCGCCGUUGAAACUGGCAGUCUCGAGUUGGAGAGAAGUAUGCGGAAUGCGCGGUGUAGCGGUGAAAUGCAUAGAUAUCGCGCAGAACUCCGAUUGCGAAGGCAGCAUGCCGGCUCCACACUGACGCUGAGGCACGAAAGCGUGGGUAUCGAACAGGAUUAGAUACCCGGGUAGUC
Molecule: ribosomal RNA, 459 nt
Filed under: uncultured bacterium
Lineage: Bacteria
Description: partial 16S ribosomal RNA
Rfam family: Bacterial small subunit ribosomal RNA
Source: RNAcentral